Molecule: ribosomal RNA, 239 nt
Filed under: uncultured bacterium
Lineage: Bacteria
Description: partial 16S ribosomal RNA
Rfam family: Bacterial small subunit ribosomal RNA
Source: RNAcentral
CGGGCGGACGGGUGAGUAACGCGUAGGCAACCUGCCCCAUACAAAGGGAUAGCAUUUGGAAACGAAUAUUAAUACCUUAUGAAACUUAACUAGUGCAUGCUAGGUAGGUCAAAGAUUUAUCGGUAUGGGAUGGGCCUGCGUCUGAUUAGCUAGUUGGUGAGGUAACGGCUCACCAAGGCGACGAUCAGUAGCCGACCUGAGAGGGUGAACGGCCACAUUGGAACUGAGACACGGCCCAA